GAUGAACGCUGGCGGCGUGCUUAACACAUGCAAGUCGAACGAUAAAGCCCAGCUUGCUGGGUGGAUUAGUGGCGAACGGGUGAGUAACACGUGAGUAACCUGCCCUUGACUCUGGGAUAAGCCCGGGAAACUGGGUCUAAUACCGGAUAGGAGCGCCUGUCGCAUGACGGGUGUUGGAAAGAUUUUUCGGUCAUGGAUGGACUCGCGGCCUAUCAGCUUGUUGGUGAGGUAAUGGCUCACCAAGGCGACGACGGGUAGCCGGCCUGAGAGGGUGACCGGCCACACUGGGACUGAGACACGGCCCAGACUCCUACGGGAGGCAGCAGUGGGGAAUAUUGCACAAUGGGCGGAAGCCUGAUGCAGCGACGCCGCGUGAGGGAUGACGGCCUUUCGGGUUGUAAACCUUCUUUUCAGUAAGGGAAAGAA
RNAcentral lists this ribosomal RNA (426 nucleotides) under Micrococcus sp. oral taxon F54. Its description in RNAcentral is "bacterial SSU rRNA". It matches the Rfam family "Bacterial small subunit ribosomal RNA", at positions 28 to 453 of the family's 1533-position model. The record is from RNAcentral. Lineage: Bacteria; Bacillati; Actinomycetota; Actinomycetes; Micrococcales; Micrococcaceae.